This 394-nucleotide ribosomal RNA is filed under the name Stramenopiles sp. RNAcentral's name for it is "partial small subunit ribosomal RNA". It matches the Rfam family "Eukaryotic small subunit ribosomal RNA", at positions 582 to 975 of the family's 1831-position model. The record is from RNAcentral.
AUUCCAGCUCCAAUAGCGUAUAUUAAAGUUGUUGCAGUUAAAAAGCUCGUAGUUGGAUUUCUGGUGGGAGUGAUCGGUCUGCCCCGUUAGGGGUGUGUACUAGUGUCGUCUCUUGCCAUCCUUGGGGAGAGCGUGCCUGGCAUUAGGUUGUCGGGCAUGGGAUCCCCAUCCUUUACUGUGAAAAAAUUAGAGUGUUUAAAGCAGGCUUAGGCCGUUGAAUACAUUAGCAUGGAAUAAUACGAUAGGACUCUGGCUUAUCUUGUUGGUCUGUGAGACCAGAGUAAUGAUUAAGAGGGACAGUCGGGGACAUUCGUAUUUCAUUGUCAGAGGUGAAAUUCUUGGAUUUAUAAAAGACGAACUUCUGCGAAAGCAUUUGUCAAGGAUGUUUUCAUUG